RNAcentral lists this ribosomal RNA (432 nucleotides) under uncultured archaeon. Its description in RNAcentral is "bacterial SSU rRNA". It matches the Rfam family "Archaeal small subunit ribosomal RNA", at positions 474 to 903 of the family's 1478-position model. The record is from RNAcentral.
UACCAGCUCUCCGAGUGGUAGGGAUGAUUAUUGGGCUUAAAGCGUCCGUAGCCGGCUUAGCAAGUUUCCUGUUAAAUUCAGCGACCUAAUCGUUGAGCCGCGGGAAAUACUACUAGGCUAGGAGGCGGGAGAGGUCGACGGUACUUCUGGGGUAGGGGUGAAAUCCUAUAAUCCCGGGAGGACCACCAGUGGCGAAGGCUGUCGACUAGAACGCGCUCGACGGUGAGGGACGAAAGCUGGGGGAGCGAACCGGAUUAGAUACCCGGGUAGUCCCAGCUGUAAACGAUGCGGGCUAGGUGUUGGGGUGGCUACGUGCCACUUCAGUGCCGCAGGGAAGCCAUUAAGCCCGCCGCCUGGGGAGUACGGCCGCAAGGGCUAGAAACUUAAAGGGAAUUGGCGGGGGAGCACCACAAGGCGUGAAGCUUGCGGUUC